This 69-nucleotide transfer RNA is filed under the name Marmota monax (woodchuck). RNAcentral's name for it is "tRNA.Pro". The stretch from base 9 to 64 matches the Rfam family "tRNA", at positions 9 to 63 of the family's 71-position model. Rfam says of the family: Transfer RNA (tRNA) molecules are approximately 80 nucleotides in length. Their secondary structure includes four short double-helical elements and three loops (D, anti-codon, and T loops). Further hydrogen bonds mediate the characteristic L-shaped molecular structure. tRNAs have two regions of fundamental functional importance: the anti-codon, which is responsible for specific mRNA codon recognition, and the 3' end, to which the tRNAs corresponding amino acid is attached (by aminoacyl-tRNA synthetases). tRNAs cope with the degeneracy of the genetic code in two manners: having more than one tRNA (with a specific anti-codon) for a particular amino acid; and 'wobble' base-pairing, i.e. permitting non-standard base-pairing at the 3rd anti-codon position. The record is from RNAcentral. Lineage: Eukaryota; Metazoa; Chordata; Mammalia; Rodentia; Sciuridae.
GGGGCAGGGGCUCAGCGGUAGAGCGCUCACCUAGGACGUGUGAGGCCCUGGGUUCGAUCCUCAGCACCG